GUUAAAUGGGUCGUAUGGUGGUGGUAAUUUGGAUUUAUCUAUUUCCUUAGUGGACAAUUUUGUUAUCUCUUUGGUGUCCGCCUCAGCAUCAGAGUCUUCUGAAUCAGAUAGCGAGAAAUUGACUAAAGUGUUGCGCUUCGGAGGAGCUGAAGUAGAGUUACUCGAAACGGGAGUUUCUGGGGUGGCGGUGGAAAAUAGUCUACUUCUGAAUGCGCUAGUUUUGGGGACUGAUAAAAAGG
Molecule: unclassified non-coding RNA, 239 nt
Filed under: Hevea brasiliensis (rubber tree)
Lineage: Eukaryota; Viridiplantae; Streptophyta; Magnoliopsida; Malpighiales; Euphorbiaceae
Source: RNAcentral